Molecule: long non-coding RNA, 706 nt
Organism: Coregonus clupeaformis (lake whitefish)
Lineage: Eukaryota; Metazoa; Chordata; Actinopteri; Salmoniformes; Salmonidae
Exons: 3
Source: RefSeq, a predicted model, not a curated record
AGCUUUUCCAUUUUGGCAAUCGAUGCCGCCCUGGUGGGAGAAAUCAAAUAGGCGAAUAUCUCAGCCAAUCACAACACUGGUCGUAGAUUCUAUCCAGAUUUAUAAGCUAUGGCAGAAGACUGUCACCUUGUGACAAUAGAGAAAACAGCGAAAGAUGAAGACCUUGACGGUUGAAAUGUUACCAUUCUUUAUUAAAUAAUAGCCUUUGGGAGCAGCUAAACAGUGGAUGCCACCAGGUUUCCUCCAAAUGAAGAGCAUCUUGAUUCAAGCAAGCCUAAAUUAUAACCAUGGAUUCAAGACAUGAGACAUUACACUUAAAAUGCAUAGAAGAGCGUCUGCUAAAUGACUAAAAUGUAAAUGUAAAUGUAAAAGCCUCUGCUACUUUUAACUGCUGUGAUAUCUUAAAUCCAUGCAGACUACUGAGAAGUGACACUUGGCCAUAGGCUACUGCUGUGUUGGAGCAAAAAAUAAAACCUGUGAGUUGAAUCUGAGUCUGUGCAGUAAAUGCAAUUUUAUUCACGUUUGUCCAAUAAUACAUUUUUUUUUUUAAAAGUAAGAAGUAAGGAUAGUAUAAAUGCUCAUUAGGGGCGACCUCUUCCCUGUGGUGAUAACAUUAGGGCAUCCCUUCAUUGAUGUCCAAACCACUACUACUGGACCAGUGGCGGCUCCUGAAAAAAUUCUCAGGAGGGGCAAUUUUUCUGAUGAU